GACGAACGCUGGCGGCGUGCCUAAUACAUGCAAGUAGAACGCUGAAGGAGGAGCUUGCUCUUCUGGAUGAGUUGCGAACGGGUGAGUAACGCGUAGGUAACCUGCCUGGUAGCGGGGGAUAACUAUUGGAAACGAUAGCUAAUACCGCAUAAGAGUAGAUGUUGCAUGACAUUUACUUAAAAGGUGCAAUUGCAUCACUACCAGAUGGACCUGCGUUGUAUUAGCUAGUUGGUGGGGUAACGGCUUACCAAGGCGACGAUACAUAGCCGACCUGAGAGGGUGAUCGGCCACACUGGGACUGAGACACGGCCCAGAGUCCUACGGGAGGCAGCAGUAGGGAAUCUUCGGCAAUGGACGGAAGUCUGACCGAGCAACGCCGCGUGAGUGAAGAAGGUUUUCGGAUCGUAAAGCUCUGUUGUAAGGGAAGAACGAGUGUGAGAGUGGAAAGUUCACACUGUGACGGUAUCUUACCAGAAAGGGACGGCUAACUACGUG
Molecule: ribosomal RNA, 495 nt
Filed under: uncultured bacterium
Lineage: Bacteria
Description: partial 16S ribosomal RNA
Rfam family: Bacterial small subunit ribosomal RNA
Source: RNAcentral